This 490-nucleotide ribosomal RNA is filed under the name uncultured bacterium. RNAcentral describes it as "partial 16S ribosomal RNA". It matches the Rfam family "Bacterial small subunit ribosomal RNA", at positions 30 to 507 of the family's 1533-position model. The record is from RNAcentral.
AUUGAACGCUGGCGGCAGGCCUAACACAUGCAAGUCGAACGGUAACAGGAAGCAGCUUGCUGCUUCGCUGACGAGUGGCGGACGGGUGGGUAAUGUCUGGGAAACUGCCUGAUGGAGGGGGAUAACUACUGGAAACGGUAGCUAAUACCGCAUAACGUCGCAAGACCAAAGAGGGGGACCUUAGGGCCUCUUGCCAUAGGAUGUGACCAGAUGGGAUUAGCUAGUAGGUGGGGUAACGGGUCACCUAGGCGACGAUCCCUAGCUGGUCUGAGAGGAUGACCAGCCACACUGGAACUGAGACACGGUCCAGACUCCUACGGGAGGCAGCAGUGGGGAAUAUUGCACAAAGGGCGCAAGCCUGAUGCAGCCAUGCCGCGUGUAUGAAGAAGGCCUUCGGGUUGUAAAGUACUUUCAGCGGGGAGGAAGGGAGUAAAGUUAAUACCUUUGCUCAUUGACGUUACCCGCAGAAGAAGCACCGGCUAACUCCGUG